This 616-nucleotide ribosomal RNA is filed under the name uncultured Legionella sp. Its description in RNAcentral is "bacterial SSU rRNA". It matches the Rfam family "Bacterial small subunit ribosomal RNA", at positions 242 to 849 of the family's 1533-position model. The record is from RNAcentral. Lineage: Bacteria; Pseudomonadati; Pseudomonadota; Gammaproteobacteria; Legionellales; Legionellaceae.
UAGCUAGUUGGUAGGGUAAGAGCCUACCAAGGCGACGAUCGGUAGCUGGUCUGAGAGGAUGGCCAGCCACACUGGAACUGAGACACGGUCCAGACUCCUACGGGAGGCAGCAGUGGGGAAUAUUGGACAAUGGGGGCAACCCUGAUCCAGCAAUGCCGCGUGUGUGAAGAAGGCCUGAGGGUUGUAAAGCACUUUCAGUGGGGAGGAGGGUAUUUAGGUUAAGAGCUAGGAUACUGGACGUUACCCACAGAAGAAGCACCGGCUAACUCCGUGCCAGCAGCCGCGGUAAUACGGAGGGUGCGAGCGUUAAUCGGAAUAACUGGGCGUAAAGGGUGCGUAGGUGGUUAGAUAAGUUAUCUGUGAAAUCCCCGGGCUCAACCUGGGCAGGUCAGAUAAGACUGUUUGACUCGAGUAUAGGAGAGGGUAGUGGAAUUUCCGGUGUAGCGGUGAAAUGCGUAGAGAUCGGAAGGAACACCAGUGGCGAAGGCGGCUACCUGGCCUGAUACUGACACUGAGGCACGAAAGCGUGGGGAGCAAACAGGAUUAGAUACCCUGGUAGUCCACGCUGUAAACGAUGUCAACUAGCCGUUGGUCAUAUGAAAAUGAUAAGUGGCGC